This 564-nucleotide long non-coding RNA is filed under the name Gadus morhua (Atlantic cod). RNAcentral describes it as "lncRNA (ENSGMOG00000031622.1)". The record is from RNAcentral. Lineage: Eukaryota; Metazoa; Chordata; Actinopteri; Gadiformes; Gadidae.
GGACCUCAGGGAGACGGCGGCCAUCGUUACCCAGGGAGACGAACUACGAGCUCUAAAAGGCCGUCGGACACUGCGCCUACCUGGAGCCCUACGGCCUUUAGAAAUGAAGAUCCACAACAGACCAGCAGCUCAGCAACACAGGUAAAGACCUCUCUAAACGACAGAGUCCCUAUAGGUUCCGGUGUUAAGAGGGUCAGUCGAAGUCCGUCCACCUCAAACCUCAGAAGCACUGCGGCUAACUCCAGGCUAGGCAACUCCCUGGGCGACCUCUACGGCGGUGAGGUGGAGGAGGCCAGGCAGACCUACAGCCCUCUUCACCCCCCGUCCUCUCCUCGCUCCCCCGCGGCCACCCUCCUCCCCCGGGGCCCCCGAGUGCCGCCCAAGGACCCCGGUCAGUACUUUGGCGCCCCUGGGAGGCCCAGUGGGAAGAAGGCUCCGGGGCCGCAGGCUCCCUACAGCGGGCUGAAGGCAGCCUCCGGGCGAUACCUCAGCCGCUCGAUUCCUGUAAGUACACACUACACUACCACAACCAGCAUAGCAACUACACUACCACAACCAGCAUAG